GACGAACGCUGGCGGCGUGCCUAAUACAUGCAAGUAGAACGCUGAAGAGAGGAGCUUGCUCUUCUUGGAUGAGUUGCGAACGGGUGAGUAACGCGUAGGUAACCUGCCUUGUAGCGGGGGAUAACUAUUGGAAACGAUAGCUAAUACCGCAUAACAAUGGAUGACACAUGUCAUUUAUUUGAAAGGGGCAAUUGCUCCACUACAAGAUGGACCUGCGUUGUAUUAGCUAGUAGGUGAGGUAACGGCUCACCUAGGCGACGAUACAUAGCCGACCUGAGAGGGUGAUCGGCCACACUGGGACUGAGACACGGCCCAGACUCCUACGGGAGGCAGCAGUAGGGAAUCUUCGGCAAUGGGGGCAACCCUGACCGAGCAACGCCGCGUGAGUGAAGAAGGUUUUCGGAUCGUAAAGCUCUGUUGUAAGUCAAGAACGAGUGUGAGAGUGGAAAAUUCACACUGUGACGGUAGCUUACCAGAAAGGGACGGCUAACUACGUGCCAGCAGCCGCGGUAAUACGUAGGUCCCGAGCGUUGUCCGGAUUUAUUGGGCGUAAAGCGAGCGCGGGCGGUUUGAUAAGUCUGAAGUUAAAGGCUGUGGCUCAACCAUAGUUCGCUUUGGAAACUGUCAAACUUGAGUGCAGAAGGGGAGAGUGGAAUUCCAUGUGUAGCGGUGAAAUGCGUAGAUAUAUGGAGGAACACCGGUGGCGAAAGCGGCUCUCUGGUCUGUAACUGACGCUGAGGCUCGAAAGCGUGGGGAGCGAACAGGAUUAGAUACCCUGGUAGUCCACGCCGUAAACGAUGAGUGCUAGGUGUUGGAUCCUUUCCGGGAUUCAGUGCCGCAGCUAACGCAUUAAGCACUCCGCCUGGGGAGUACGACCGCAAGGUUGAAACUCAAAGGAAUUGACGGGGGCCCGCACAAGCGGUGGAGCAUGUGGUUUAAUUCGAAGCAACGCGAAGAACCUUACCAGGUCUUGACAUCCCGAUGCUAUUUCUAGAGAUAGAAAGUUACUUCGGUACAUCGGUGACAGGUGGUGCAUGGUUGUCGUCAGCUCGUGUCGUGAGAUGUUGGGUUAAGUCCCGCAACGAGCGCAACCCCUAUUGUUAGUUGCCAUCAUUCAGUUGGGCACUCUAGCGAGACUGCCGGUAAUAAACCGGAGGAAGGUGGGGAUGACGUCAAAUCAUCAUGCCCCUUAUGACCUGGGCUACACACGUGCUACAAUGGUUGGUACAACGAGUUGCGAGUCGGUGACGGCAAGCUAAUCUCUUAAAGCCAAUCUCAGUUCGGAUUGUAGGCUGCAACUCGCCUACAUGAAGUCGGAAUCGCUAGUAAUCGCGGAUCAGCACGCCGCGGUGAAUACGUUCCCGGGCCU
This 1369-nucleotide ribosomal RNA is filed under the name uncultured bacterium. RNAcentral's name for it is "bacterial SSU rRNA". It matches the Rfam family "Bacterial small subunit ribosomal RNA", at positions 28 to 1381 of the family's 1533-position model. The record is from RNAcentral.